GAUGAACGCUGGCGGCGUGCCUAAUACAUGCAAGUCGAGCGAACAGACGAGGAGCUUGCUCCUCUGACGUUAGCGGCGGACGGGUGAGUAACACGUGGAUAACCUACCUAUAAGACUGGGAUAACUUCGGGAAACCGGAGCUAAUACCGGAUAAUAUAUUGAACCGCAUGGUUCAAUAGUGAAAGACGGUUUUGCUGUCACUUAUAGAUGGAUCCGCGCCGCAUUAGCUAGUUGGUAAGGUAACGGCUUACCAAGGCAACGAUGCGUAGCCGACCUGAGAGGGUGGUCGGCCACACGGGAACUGAGACACGGCCCAGACUCCUACGGGAGGCAGCAGUAGGGAAUCUUCCGCAAUGGGCGAGAGCCUGACGGAGCAACGCCGCGGGAGUGAUGAAGGUCUUCGGAUCGUAAAGCUCUGUUAUUAGGGAAGAACAAAUGUGUAAGUAACUAUGCACGUCUUGACGGUACCUAAUCAGAAAGCCACGGCUAACUACGUG
This 497-nucleotide ribosomal RNA is filed under the name uncultured bacterium. Its description in RNAcentral is "partial 16S ribosomal RNA". It matches the Rfam family "Bacterial small subunit ribosomal RNA", at positions 28 to 507 of the family's 1533-position model. The record is from RNAcentral.